ACAGGACCUUAGUCUCGAGAACCGGGCGC
This 29-nucleotide small RNA is filed under the name Bombyx mori (domestic silkworm). RNAcentral describes it as "ovarian small RNA-11118". Lineage: Eukaryota; Metazoa; Arthropoda; Insecta; Lepidoptera; Bombycidae. The record is from RNAcentral.